AGCUCCAAUAGCGUAUACUAACGUUGUUGCAGUUAAAAAGCUCGUAGUUGGAUUUCUGAUUCUUGUCGUUGGUUGGGCGGCCGCGUGUCGCUCGCCUCGCACAGGAGUCAACAUAUGUCACGAGCCAGUGUGAUCUAUUCAUUUAGGUCCGCUGGGUAAUGACUCGUUUACUUUGAGAAAAUUAGAGUGUUCAAAGCAGGCAUUUGCCUUGAAUAUGUUAGCAUGGAAUAAUAGCAUAGGACUUCGGUUCUAUUUGUUGGUUGUUCGAGAACUGGAGUAAUGAUUGAUAGGGACGGUUGGGGGCAUCUGUAUUCUCAAGCGAGAGGUGAAAUUCUUGGACCUUGGGAAGACAAACAGCUGCGAAAGCGUUUGCCUAGGACGUUC
This 384-nucleotide ribosomal RNA is filed under the name uncultured eukaryote. RNAcentral describes it as "SSU rRNA". It matches the Rfam family "Eukaryotic small subunit ribosomal RNA", at positions 587 to 969 of the family's 1831-position model. The record is from RNAcentral.